GGGAUAGAAUUCCAGGAGUAGCGGUGAAAUGCGUAGAUAUCUGGAGGAAUACCAAAGGCGAAGGCAGUCCCCUGGUCCGACACUGACACUGAGGUACGAAAGCGUGGGGAGCAAACAGGAUUAGAUACCCUGGUAGUCCACGCCCUAAACGAUGUCGAUUAGCCAUUGGAAGGACCCCUUUUCCUUUCAGUGACGUAGCUAACGCGUUAAAUCGACCGCCUGGGAAGUACGACCGCAAGGUUAAAACUCAAAGGAAUUGACGGGGACCUGAACAAGCGGUGAAUGAUGUGGAUUAAUUCGAUGCUACGCGAAGAACCUUACCUACCUUUGACAUGGCCAAAGUUCUACCGAGAGGCGGAAGUACUCGUAAGAGGAUUGGCGCACAGGUGCUGCAUGGUUGUCGUCAGUUCGUGUCGUGAGAUGUUGGGUUCAGUCCCGCAACGAACGCAACCCUUAUCUUUAAUUGCUCCUAUUUUAACAGGCACUUUAAAGAAACUGCCAAUGAUAAGUUGGAGGAAGGUGGGGAUCACGUCAAGUCCGCAUGGCCUUUAUAGGUAGGGCUUCACACGUCAUACAAUGGUUAGAACAAAGAGCUGCAAAUUCGUAAGAAGGAGCCAAUCUCACAAACCUAACCUCAGUUCGAAUUGCGGUCUGCAACUCGAGCGCAUGAAGCCGGGAUCGCUAGUAAUCGUGGAUCAGAAUGCCACGGUGAAUACGUUCUAGGUCUU
Molecule: ribosomal RNA, 728 nt
Filed under: Candidatus Tremblayella phenacoccinincola
Lineage: Bacteria; Pseudomonadati; Pseudomonadota; Betaproteobacteria
Description: bacterial SSU rRNA
Rfam family: Bacterial small subunit ribosomal RNA
Source: RNAcentral